Molecule: transfer RNA, 76 nt
Filed under: Candidatus Daviesbacteria bacterium RIFCSPHIGHO2_01_FULL_40_24
Lineage: Bacteria; Candidatus Daviesiibacteriota
Also listed under: 4 other names
Description: tRNA-Ala
Rfam family: tRNA
About the family: Transfer RNA (tRNA) molecules are approximately 80 nucleotides in length. Their secondary structure includes four short double-helical elements and three loops (D, anti-codon, and T loops).
Source: RNAcentral
GGGCCCAUGGCUCAGUUGGUAGAGCGCUUCAUUUGCAAUGAAGAGGUCACCAGUUCGAAUCUGGUUGGGUCCACAA